CAGUAGCCGCGGGAAUACGAAGGGUGCAAGCGUUAAUCGGAAUUACUGGGCGUAAAGCGCGCGUAGGUGGUUCAUUAAGUUGGAUGUGAAAGCCCUGGGCUCAACCUGGGAACUGCAUCCAAAACUGGUGAGCUAGAGUACGGUAGAGGGUAGUGGAAUUUCCUGUGUAGCGGUGAAAUGCGUAGAUAUAGGAAGGAACACCAGUGGCGAAGGCGACUACCUGGACUGAUACUGACACUGAGGUGCGAAAGCGUGGGGAGCAAACAGGAUUAGAUACCCGAGUAGUCCCUGUCUCUUAUAC
This 301-nucleotide ribosomal RNA is filed under the name uncultured bacterium. RNAcentral's name for it is "partial 16S ribosomal RNA". It matches the Rfam family "Bacterial small subunit ribosomal RNA", at positions 509 to 807 of the family's 1533-position model. The record is from RNAcentral.